UUAUCCCUGGGAUGUUGGUGAUUGGUAGAGAGGUCCCUGAGCCAACACCAACGAUUUUGGGGGCUGCCUCUUAUUCUGGUGUGCACUUCGCGUAAGUGAAGUGCCUAAAGGAAUAAUGCGGCACCCACCUAGUAGACUCGGUUCAAGACCGACUGCCAACACGGCAUCCUGGGGAUUCU
Molecule: non-coding RNA, 179 nt
Filed under: Thermodesulforhabdus norvegica
Lineage: Bacteria; Pseudomonadati; Thermodesulfobacteriota; Syntrophobacteria; Syntrophobacterales; Thermodesulforhabdaceae
Description: 6S RNA
Rfam family: 6S / SsrS RNA
About the family: E. coli 6S RNA was the first non coding RNA to be sequenced, but its function was unknown until recently. It consists of 184 nucleotides that fold into an extended hairpin structure with a large single-stranded internal bulge. The 6S RNA specifically associates with RNA polymerase holoenzyme containing the sigma70 specificity factor.
Source: RNAcentral